CCUACGUGAGGCAGCAGUGGGGGAUAUUGCACAAUGGGGGAAACCCUGAUGCAGCGACGCCGCGUGGGCGAAGAAGUAUUUCGGUAUGUAAAGCCCUAUCAGCAGGGAAGAAGAAAUGACGGUACCUGAGUAAGAAGCACCGGCUAAAUACGUGCCAGCAGCCGCGGUAAUACGUAUGGUGCAAGCGUUAUCCGGAUUUAUUGGGUUUAAAGGGUGCGCAGGCGGCCUGUUAAGUCAGCGGUAAAAGCCCGGGGCUCAACCCCGGCGAGCCGUUGAAACUGGCGGGUUGGAGUUGGAGAGAAGUACGCGGAAUGCGCGGUGUAGCGGUGAAAUGCUUAGAUAUCGCGCAGAACCCCGAUUGCGAAGGCAGCGUACCGGCUCCACACUGACGCUGAGGCACGAAAGCGUGGGUAUCGAACAGGAUUAGAUACCCGGUAGUC
RNAcentral lists this ribosomal RNA (440 nucleotides) under uncultured bacterium. Its description in RNAcentral is "partial 16S ribosomal RNA". It matches the Rfam family "Bacterial small subunit ribosomal RNA", at positions 338 to 795 of the family's 1533-position model. The record is from RNAcentral.